This 73-nucleotide transfer RNA is filed under the name Patiria miniata (bat star). Its description in RNAcentral is "tRNA-Ser". It matches the Rfam family "tRNA". From Rfam's summary of the family: Transfer RNA (tRNA) molecules are approximately 80 nucleotides in length. Their secondary structure includes four short double-helical elements and three loops (D, anti-codon, and T loops). The record is from Rfam by way of RNAcentral. Lineage: Eukaryota; Metazoa; Echinodermata; Asteroidea; Valvatida; Asterinidae.
GGCUGGAUAGCUCAGUUGGUAGAGCACCGGAACGGAAAUCCUGAGGUCACAGGUUCAAACCCCGCUGCAGUCA